GAAGUGGUUCAGACCGUCGCUGAGGCAAGACCCGAAAGGGUGCCUUGGAGGAAAGUCCGGACUGCACAGAGCAGCGUAGGGGGUAACACCCCUCCGGCGCGAGCCGAGGAUUAGAGCAACAGAGACGAGUUUGAGUGGGUAGCGUGGACGCGGUGCAAGCUGCAACCUCGCGAAACCGCCUGAGGGUGGUCUGUGGGCCCGGUGCGAGCCGGGAGCCGACGCGCAAGCGGCGGCUUUGGGUGCAACCCAAACCCCACAGCACCUUGGGUGGCCCGCCGGCGCUUGCCGGCGUCCCGCCCAAGGUGAAACGGGCAAUCUCUACGCGCAGCAACACCAAGUAGGCCGGCGUUGACGUGACUCGCGGAGCCGGCGGGUAGGUGGCAUCGAGCCGGGGUGUGAGCCCCGGCCCAGAGGAAUGACGGUCAAGGUCUGGCAACAGGCCUCACAAAAUCCGGCUUAUCGAACGGCUUCACGA
This 475-nucleotide RNase P RNA is filed under the name Inhella gelatinilytica. RNAcentral describes it as "Bacterial RNase P class A". It matches the Rfam family "Bacterial RNase P class A". Rfam says of the family: Ribonuclease P (RNase P) is a ubiquitous endoribonuclease, found in archaea, bacteria and eukarya as well as chloroplasts and mitochondria. Its best characterised activity is the generation of mature 5'-ends of tRNAs by cleaving the 5'-leader elements of precursor-tRNAs. The record is from Rfam by way of RNAcentral. Lineage: Bacteria; Pseudomonadati; Pseudomonadota; Betaproteobacteria; Burkholderiales; Sphaerotilaceae.